This 463-nucleotide ribosomal RNA is filed under the name uncultured bacterium. Its description in RNAcentral is "partial 16S ribosomal RNA". It matches the Rfam family "Bacterial small subunit ribosomal RNA", at positions 28 to 523 of the family's 1533-position model. The record is from RNAcentral.
GACGAACGCUGGCGGCAUGCUUAACACAUGCAAGUCGAACGGAAUAUGGGUGCUUGCAUCCAUGUUUAGUGGCAAACGGGUGAGUAACACGUGGGAACUUACCCUUCAGAGCGGGACAAGCACUGGAAACGGUGUCUAAUACCGCAUACGCCCUCAGGGGGAAAGGAGAGAUCCGCUGAAGGAGAGGCCCGCGGCAGAUUAGGUAGUUGGUGGGGUAAAAGCCUACCAAGCCGAUGAUCUGUAGCUGGUUUGAGAGGAUGAUCAGCCACACUGGAACUGCGACACGGUCCAGACUCCUACGGGAGGCAGCAGUGGGGAAUAUUGGACAAUGGGGGAAACCCUGAUCCAGCAAUGCCGCGUGAGUGACGAAGGCCUUAGGGUUGUAAAACUCUCUUCUAAGUGAGGAUGAUGACGGUAACUUAGGAAUAAGCUCCGGCUAACUUCGUGCCAGCAGCCGCCGUAA